Molecule: long non-coding RNA, 614 nt
Filed under: Stegodyphus dumicola
Lineage: Eukaryota; Metazoa; Arthropoda; Arachnida; Araneae; Eresidae
Description: uncharacterized LOC118182877
Source: RNAcentral
GAGCAGGACGACCCCCUGUCUUGUCAUCGUCCACCCAGACUGACCAAACAAGUUUGUUCUUUGGCUAAGCGCCAUUUCAAGCGAGGACAGUCGUAACAAUGGAUACAGCUCCUUUGCCAAAAGAGGCGUUACAUAAUAGUUCAAAAUUAUCAGAUUUUUAUAACUGCAAGAAGUUCCCGAAGAUGCUGUUAAUGUCCUAAAAGGGUAAAGGCAAAGCAAGUAUUUUAGCAUCAGGUUGUUAUUUGAAAAAAAAAAAAAAAAAAAAAAAAAAUCCAAAUUCUGCACUUCUAAUAUUUGGUAAAUGGAAUAGAAGACAUGGAAUCUCUUGGACCAGCUCAGAAUAAACAGCCCAUUAUAGUGUGUAUUACAAGUUCAUUCUAUAUUAAAGCAGUAAAUCACUUAAAAGCAUGCCCAAAUCAUGCCAUGAAGGCAUUUGACAUUCUAUUUAAAACUAAUUUUGUAUUUAGCGUUCAAUAUGCACAUACAUCAACAAAUUUUUAUAAUUUUGUGGCAAGCCUUUUGUAUAAUGUCAGCACUCCUAGAGCUUGUGUGGACUCUUUAAAUACAUGUUCGAGUCUGAAUUUAUUGCAUUUUGUACAUGCAUUACAUUUCAU